AGAGUUUGAUCCUGGCUCAGAUUGGACGCUGGCGGCAUGCCUAGCACAUGCAAGUCGAACGAGUAUUACUAGCUUGCUAGUAUGAUUAGUGGCGGACGGGUGAGUAAUAUAUAGGGAUCUGCGUGUUAGUGGGGGACAACAGCCGGAGACGGCUGCUAAUACCGCAUACACUCUACGGACGAAGAUUGGGGGACCCUCAGGCCUCACGCUAACAGAUGAACCUAUAUCAGAUUAGCUCGAUCGUGGGGUUAAGGCCUACCAUGGCGACAUCUGUUACUGGUUUGAUAGAAUGAUCACCACGGUGGGGACUGAGAUCCGGCCACACUCCUUACGGGAGGCAGCAGUUGGGGAAUAUUUGGACAUGGGCGCAAGCCUGAUCCUAGCAAUGCCGCGUGUGUGAAGAAGGCCUUCGGGUUGUAAAGCACUUUAAGUUGGGAGGAAAAGCUUGGGGUUAAUAGCCUUAAGUGUUGACAUUACCAACAGAAUAAGCACCGGCUAACUCCGUGCCAACAGCCGCGGUAAUACAGAGGGUGCAAGCGUUAAGCGGAAUUACUGGGCGUAAAGCGCGCGUAGGCGGUUUGUUAAGUCAGAUGUGAAGUCCCCGGCUCACCUGGGAAUGGCAUUUGAGACUGGCAGGCUAAAUUAUGGUAGAAGUCAUUGGAAUUUCAGGUGUACCGGUGAAAUGCGUAAGAUCUGAAAGAACAUCCGUGGCGAAGGCGAUCACUAGGACAUUACUGACCCCAAGUUCCAAACGUUGGUUAC
RNAcentral lists this ribosomal RNA (762 nucleotides) under Methylophaga sp. Loihi-Chm(16S)-3. Its description in RNAcentral is "bacterial SSU rRNA". It matches the Rfam family "Bacterial small subunit ribosomal RNA", at positions 8 to 768 of the family's 1533-position model. Lineage: Bacteria; Pseudomonadati; Pseudomonadota; Gammaproteobacteria; Thiotrichales; Piscirickettsiaceae. The record is from RNAcentral.